This 474-nucleotide ribosomal RNA is filed under the name uncultured bacterium. Its description in RNAcentral is "SSU rRNA". It matches the Rfam family "Bacterial small subunit ribosomal RNA", at positions 26 to 518 of the family's 1533-position model. The record is from RNAcentral.
AGGACGAACGCUGGCGGCGUGCUUAACACAUGCAAGUCGAGCGGAAAGGCCCUUCGGGGUACUCGAGCGGCGAACGGGUGAGUAACACGUGAGCAACCUGCCCUUAGCUUCGGGAUAGCUCCGGGAAACCGGAAUUAAUACCGGAUAUGACUAUGGCCGACAUCAGCCAUGGUGGAAAGUUUUUCGGCUAGGGAUGGACUCGCGGCCUAUCAGCUAGUUGGUGAGGUAACGGCUCACCAAGGCGACGAUGGGUAGCCGGCCUGAGAGGGCGACCGGCCACACUGGGACUGAGACACGGCCCCAGACUCCUACGGGAGGCAGCAGUGGGGAAUAUUGCGCAAUGGGCGAAAGCCUGACGCAGCGACGCCGCGUGGGGGAUGAAUGCCUUCGGGUUGUAACCCGUUUCAGCAGGGACGAAGCGAAAGUGACGGUACCUGCAGAAGAAGCGCCGGCUAACUACGUGCCAGCAGCCGC